UUCGUCAUCAGCGGAGACUGCGGAGGUCAUUAUUGAAUAAGAUUGGUUGGGUUGUUGCUGGCUCUCCGGAGCAUGUGCACGCCUAACACCAACUUUUACCACCUGUGCACCUUCUGUAGACCUGGAUAAACCCUCGAGGAAACUCGGUUUGAGGACUGCUGUGCGCAAGCCGGCUCUCCUUGUACUUCCGGUCUAUGUUUUUAUAUAUACCCCUACCAGUAUGUCUCAGAAUGUUUGUUGUUGGGCUUGAAUGCCUUUAAACUUAAUACAACUUUCAACAACGGAUCUCUUGGCUCUCGCAUCGAUGAAGAACGCAGCGAAAUGCGAUAAGUAAUGUGAAUUGCAGAAUUCAGUGAAUCAUCGAAUCUUUGAACGCACCUUGCGCUCCUUGGUAUUCCGAGGAGCAUGCCUGUUUGAGUGUCAUUAAAUUCUCAACCUUUUCAACUUUUUCUGUUGAUCAGGCUUGGAUGUGGGAGUAUGCGGGCUUCUCAGAAGUCGGCUCUCCUGAAAUGCAUUAGCGGGACCUUUGUUGCCUGGCUUUGGUGUGAUAAUUAUCUACGCCAUUGUGAAGAGCAGCUUCAUAAUGAGGUCCAGCUUCUAAUCGUCUCUUUCGAGACAACUUCUGACAAUUUGACCUCAAAUCAGGUAGGACUACCCGCUGAACUUAAGCAUAUCAAUAAGGCGGAGGAA
This 690-nucleotide ribosomal RNA is filed under the name uncultured Tricholoma. Its description in RNAcentral is "eukaryotic LSU rRNA". The stretch from base 270 to 423 matches the Rfam family "5.8S ribosomal RNA". The record is from RNAcentral. Lineage: Eukaryota; Fungi; Basidiomycota; Agaricomycetes; Agaricales; Tricholomataceae.